Molecule: ribosomal RNA, 478 nt
Filed under: uncultured bacterium
Lineage: Bacteria
Description: partial 16S ribosomal RNA
Rfam family: Bacterial small subunit ribosomal RNA
Source: RNAcentral
GACGAACGCUGGCGGCGUGCUUAACACAUGCAAGUUGAACGGUAAGGCCCUUCGGGGUACACGAGUGGCGAACGGGUGAGUAACACGUGGGUGAUCUGCCCUGCACUUCGGGAUAAGCCUGGGAAACUGGGUCUAAUACCGGAUAGGACUCCGGACUGCAUGGUCUGGGGUGGAAAGCUUUUGCGGUGUGGGAUGGGCCCGCGGCCUAUCAGCUUGUUGGUGGGGUGACGGCCUACCAAGGCGACGACGGGUAGCCGGCCUGAGAGGGUGACCGGCCACACUGGGACUGAGAUACGGCCCAGACUCAUACGGGAGGCAGCAGUGGGGAAUAUUGCACAAUGGGCGCAAGCCUGAUGCAGCGACGCCGCGUGAGGGAUGACGGCCUUCGGGUUGUAAACCUCUUUCAGCAUCGACGAAGCGAAAGUGACGGUAGGUGCAGAAGAAGGACCGGCCAACUACGUGCCAGCCGCCGCAGUAA